AGAUUGAACGCUGGCGGCAGGCCUAACACAUGCAAGUCGAGCGGUAGAGAGGUGCUUGCAUCUCUUGGGAGCGGCGGACGGGUGAGUAAUGCCUAGGAAUCUGCCUAGUGGUGGGGGAUAACGUUCGGAAACGGACGCUAAUACCGCAUACGUCCUACGGGAGAAAGCGGGGGACCUUCGGGCCUCGCGCCAUUAGAUGAGCCUAGGUCGGAUUAGCUAGUUGGUGAGGUAAUGGCUCACCAAGGCGACGAUCCGUAACUGGUCUGAGAGGAUGAUCAGUCACACUGGAACUGAGACACGGUCCAGACUCCUACGGGAGGCAGCAGUGGGAAUAUUGGACAA
RNAcentral lists this ribosomal RNA (342 nucleotides) under uncultured soil bacterium. RNAcentral's name for it is "bacterial SSU rRNA". It matches the Rfam family "Bacterial small subunit ribosomal RNA", at positions 26 to 371 of the family's 1533-position model. The record is from RNAcentral.